Molecule: ribosomal RNA, 462 nt
Filed under: uncultured bacterium
Lineage: Bacteria
Description: partial 16S ribosomal RNA
Rfam family: Bacterial small subunit ribosomal RNA
Source: RNAcentral
GAUCAACGCUGGCGGCGUGCUUAACACAUGCAAGUCGAACGAAGUUUUUCCUUCGGGAGACACUUAGUGGCGGACGGGUGAGUAACGCGUGGGUAACCUGCCCUGUACAGGGGGACAACAGCUGGAAACGGCUGCUAAUACCGAAUAAGCACUUAGCACUGCAUGGUGCAUAGGGAAAAGGAGCAAUCCGGUACAGGAUGGACCCGCGUCUGAUUAGCCAGUUGGCAGGGUAACGGCCUACCAAAGCGACGAUCAGUAGCCGAUCUGAGAGGAUGUACGGCCACAUUGGGACUGAGACACGGCCCAGACUCCUACGGGAGGCAGCAGUGGGGAAUAUUGCACAAUGGAGGAAACUCUGAUGCAGCGACGCCGCGUGAGUGAAGAAGUAUUUCGGUAUGUAAAGCUCUAUCAGCAGGGAAGAAAAUGACGGUACCUGACUAAGAAGCACCGGCUAAAUACGUG